Molecule: ribosomal RNA, 484 nt
Filed under: uncultured bacterium
Lineage: Bacteria
Description: partial 16S ribosomal RNA
Rfam family: Bacterial small subunit ribosomal RNA
Source: RNAcentral
AUUGAACGCUGGCGGCAGGCCUAACACAUGCGAGUCGAGCGGAUGAAGGGAGCUUGCUCCUGGAUUCAGCGGCGGACGGGUGAGUAAUGCCUAGGAAUCUGCCUGGUAGUGGGGGAUAACGUCCGGAAACGGGCGCUAAUACCACAUACGUCCUGAGGGAGAAAGGGGGGGAUCUUCGGACCUCACGCUAUCAGAUGAGCCUAGGUCGGAUUAGCUAGUUGGUGGGGUAAAGGCCUACCAAGGCGACGAUCCGAAACUGGUCUGAGAGGAUGAUCAGUCACACUGGAACUGAGACACGGUCCAGACUCCUACGGGAGGCAGCAGUGGGGAAUAUUGGACAAUGGGCGAAAGCCUGAUCCAGCCAUGCCGCGUGUGUGAAGAAGGUCUUCGGAUUGUAAAGCACUUUAAGUUGGGAGGAAGGGCAGUAAGUUAAUCCCUUGCUGUUUUGACGUUACCAACAGAAUAAGCACCGGCUAACUUCGUG